GGUUGAUAUUCCCGUACCGGUGUUGAUGCGUCCAUGCUGAGGCCAGGUGUGCUAACCAUCUGAUUGCAGGCAUCCUUUAGGGGGUGUGUGUGGGAGGGUGGGGUCCCGUCUGGUAGUAGGCAAGCGAUGGGGUGACGCAGGAGGGUAGUCCAUCCCAGGCGGUGGUUGUCCUGGGGCAAGGGCGUAGGACGGAACGUAGGCAAAUCCGCGUUUCAUGUGUCUGAGACCUGAUGCCGAGCC
RNAcentral lists this ribosomal RNA (240 nucleotides) under Frankia umida. RNAcentral's name for it is "Frankia sp. Ag45/Mut15 partial 23S ribosomal RNA". Lineage: Bacteria; Bacillati; Actinomycetota; Actinomycetes; Frankiales; Frankiaceae. The record is from RNAcentral.